ACGUCAUCCCCUACACGAACGCCAUCGCCGCCUACACGCGCUCGCCAUCGUUCGCGGUCGUGUCGGGCAGCGGCACGCAAGGCCUCAUCAUGGUGGGCCAGCCGGGGAUCAAGACGUUUGCCGACAUGCGCGGCAAGCGCGUCGGGACCUUCCAGGCCGACACGCUCGACAUCCUCGUGUACGACUACUUGAAGAAGCAGGGCAUGACAUACAAAGACGUCAAGAUGCAGUACCUCGGCAACAGUGUGGAGCUGACCAACGCGUUCAUCGCCGGCCAGCUCGACGUGAUGAGCUCGAUCGAGCCGUACGCCACCCGGGGUCUCAUGGCGACCAAGGGCAAUGUGCUCGGCGACGGCGUCGACAUGUACGGGG
Molecule: unclassified non-coding RNA, 372 nt
Filed under: uncultured bacterium
Lineage: Bacteria
Description: contains 16S-23S intergenic spacer region
Source: RNAcentral